This 253-nucleotide ribosomal RNA is filed under the name uncultured bacterium. RNAcentral's name for it is "partial 16S ribosomal RNA". It matches the Rfam family "Bacterial small subunit ribosomal RNA", at positions 524 to 776 of the family's 1533-position model. The record is from RNAcentral.
UACGUAGGGGGCGAGCGUUGUCCGGAGUUACUGGGCGUAAAGCGCACGCAGGCGGUCUGCUAAGUUUGGAGUGACAGUUGGUGGCUUAACUGCCAAAGUGCUUCGAAAACUGACAGACUUGAGGGCUUCAGAGGGACACGGAAUUCCGGGUGGAGUGGUGAAAUGCGUAGAGAUGUGGAGGAAUACCGAUGGCGAAGGCAGCCCCCUGGGCCAAUACUGACGCUCAUGCACAAAAGCGUGGGGAGCAAACAGG